GACGAACGCUGGCGGUGUGCUUAACACAUGCAAGUCGAACGGUAAGGCCCUUUCGGGGGUACACGAGUGGCGAACGGGUGAGUACCACGUGAGUAACCUGCCCUCAUCUCUGGGAUAACAGUCGGAAACGGUUGCUAAUACUGGAUAUGAGCCUGCAAGGCAUCUUGUGGGUUGGAAAGAUUUUUUGGUUGGGGAUGGACUCGCGGCCUAUCAGCUUGUUGGUGAGGUAGUGGCUCACCAAGGCUUCGACGGGUAGCCGGCCUGAGAGGGCGACCGGCCACAUUGGGACUGAGAUACGGCCCAAACUCCUACGGGAGGCAGCAGUGGGGAAUAUUGCACAAUGGACGGAAGUCGGAUGCAGCAACGCCGCGUGCGGGAUGACGGCCUUCGGGUUGUAAACCGCUUUCAAUUGUGACGAAGCUUUUUGUGACGGUAGCAGUAGAAGAAGCACCGGCUAACUACGUG
RNAcentral lists this ribosomal RNA (465 nucleotides) under uncultured bacterium. Its description in RNAcentral is "partial 16S ribosomal RNA". It matches the Rfam family "Bacterial small subunit ribosomal RNA", at positions 28 to 507 of the family's 1533-position model. The record is from RNAcentral.